This 468-nucleotide ribosomal RNA is filed under the name uncultured bacterium. RNAcentral's name for it is "partial 16S ribosomal RNA". It matches the Rfam family "Bacterial small subunit ribosomal RNA", at positions 28 to 507 of the family's 1533-position model. The record is from RNAcentral.
GACGAACGCUGGCGGCGUGCUUAACACAUGCAAGUGGAACGGUAAUGUCCUGCCUUGGUGUGGUGCUCGAGUGGCGAACGGGUGAGUAACAGGUGAGUAACCUGCCCUGUACCUUGGGCUAACUUCAGGAAACUGAGGCUAAUACAGGAUAGGAUAUCCUGCUACAUGUUGUGGCUUGGAAAGUUUGGGCGGUAGGGGCUGGACGCGCGGCUUAUCAGCUGGUUGGUGGGGUAGUGACUUACCAAGUCUUUGACGGGUAGCCGGCCUGAGAGGUGGACCGGCGACAAUGGGACUGAGAGACGGACCAGACGCCUAUGGGAGGCAGUAGUGGGGAAUAUUGCACAAUGGGCGGAAGCCUGAUGCAGAAACGCCGCGUGCGGGAUGACGGGCUGCGGGUUAUAAACCGCUUUCGCCUGUGACGAAGGGUGAGUGACGGUAAUGGGUAAAGAAGCACCGGCUAACUACGUG